This 467-nucleotide ribosomal RNA is filed under the name uncultured bacterium. Its description in RNAcentral is "bacterial SSU rRNA". It matches the Rfam family "Bacterial small subunit ribosomal RNA", at positions 355 to 825 of the family's 1533-position model. The record is from RNAcentral.
UGAGGAAUAUUGGACAAUGGGCGCAAGCCUGAUCCAGCCAUGCCGCGUGCAGGAUGACGGUCCUAUGGAUUGUAAACUGCUUUUGUACAGGAAGAAACAGUUCUACGUGUAGAACCUUGACGGUACUGUAAGAAUAAGGAUCGGCUAACUCCGUGCCAGCAGCCGCGGUAAUACGGAGGAUCCAAGCGUUAUCCGGAAUCAUUGGGUUUAAAGGGUCCGUAGGCGGUUAGAUAAGUCAGUGGUGAAAGCCCAUCGCUCAACGGUGGAACGGCCAUUGAUACUGUCUGACUUGAAUUAUUAGGAAGUAACUAGAAUAUGUAGUGUAGCGGUGAAAUGCUUAGAGAUUACAUGGAAUACCAAUUGCGAAGGCAGGUUACUACUAAUGGAUUGACGCUGAUGGACGAAAGCGUGGGUAGCGAACAGGAUUAGAUACCCACGUAGUCCCUGAGCGGGCUGGCAAGGCGCAU